UUUUGACCUCGGAUCAGGUAGGGAUACCCGCUGAACUUAAGCAUAUCAAUAAGCGGAGGAAAAGAAACCAACAGGGAUUGCCCUAGUAACGGCGAGUGAAGCGGCAACAGCUCAAAUUUGAAAUCUGGCUCUUUUAGAGUCCGAGUUGUAAUUUGCAGAGGGCGCUUUGGCUUUGGCAGCGGUCCAAGUUCCUUGGAACAGGACGUCACAGAGGGUGAGAAUCCCGUACGUGGUCGCUGGCUAUUGCCGUGUAAAGCCCCUUCGACGAGUCGAGUUGUUUGGGAAUGCAGCUCUAAAUGGGAGGUACAUUUCUUCUAAAGCUAAAUAUUGGCCAGAGACCGAUAGCGCACAAGUAGAGUGAUCGAAAGAUGAAAAGCACUUUGGAAAGAGAGUCAAACAGCACGUGAAAUUGUUGAAAGGGAAGCGCUUGCAGCCAGACUUGCUUGCAGUUGCUCAUCCGGGCUUUUGCCCGGUGCACUCUUCUGCAGGCAGGCCAGCAUCAGUUUGGGCGGUAGGAUAAAGGUCUCUGUCACGUACCUCCUUUCGGGGAGGCCUUAUAGGGGAGACGACAUACUACCAGCCUGGACUGAGGUCCGCGCAUCUGCUAGGAUGCUGGCGUAAUGGCUGUAA
RNAcentral lists this ribosomal RNA (630 nucleotides) under Alternaria petroselini. RNAcentral describes it as "eukaryotic LSU rRNA". It matches the Rfam family "Eukaryotic large subunit ribosomal RNA", at positions 1 to 643 of the family's 3401-position model. Lineage: Eukaryota; Fungi; Ascomycota; Dothideomycetes; Pleosporales; Pleosporaceae. The record is from RNAcentral.